Molecule: ribosomal RNA, 497 nt
Filed under: uncultured bacterium
Lineage: Bacteria
Description: partial 16S ribosomal RNA
Rfam family: Bacterial small subunit ribosomal RNA
Source: RNAcentral
GAUGAACGCUGGCGGCGUGCCUAAUACAUGCAAGUCGAGCGAACAGACGAGGAGCUUGCUCCUCUGACGUUAGCGGCGGACGGGUGAGUAACACGUGGAUAACCUACCUAUAAGACUGGGAUAACUUCGGGAAACCGGAGCUAAUACCGGAUAAUAUAUUGAACCGCAUGGUUCAAUAGUGAAAGACGGUUUUGCUGUCACUUAUAGUUGGAUCCGCGCCGCAUUAGCUAGUUGGUAAGGUAACGGCUUACCAAGGCAACGAUGCGUAGCCGACCUGAGAGGGUGAUCGGCCACACUGGAACUGAGACACGGUCCAGACUCCUACGGGAGGCAGCAGUAGGGAAUCUUCCGCAAUGGGCGAAAGCCUGACGGAGCAACGCCGCGUGAGUGAUGAAGGUCUUCGGAUCGUAAAACUCUGUUAUUAGGGAAGAACAAAUGUGUAAGUAACUAUGCACGUCUUGACGGUACCUAAUCAGAAAGCCACGGCUAACUACGUG